GGGGACUACUAAAGGAACUGCCUACGGCAAGUAGUGAGGAAGGCGGGGAUGACGUCAAAUCAGCACGGCCCUUACGUCCAGGGCUACACACGUGCUACAAUGGCCGAUACAGAGGGCAGCUACCUGGUGACAGGAUGCAAAUCUCCAAAGUCGGUCUCAGUUCGGAUCGGAGUCUGCAACCCGACUCCGUGAAGUUGGAUUCGCUAGUAAUCGCGCAUCAGCCAUGGCGCGGUGAAUACGUUCCCGGGCCUU
This 252-nucleotide ribosomal RNA is filed under the name uncultured Sphingobacteriales bacterium. RNAcentral's name for it is "partial 16S ribosomal RNA". It matches the Rfam family "Bacterial small subunit ribosomal RNA", at positions 1132 to 1382 of the family's 1533-position model. The record is from RNAcentral. Lineage: Bacteria; Pseudomonadati; Bacteroidota; Sphingobacteriia; Sphingobacteriales.